Molecule: small RNA, 596 nt
Filed under: Pongo abelii (Sumatran orangutan)
Lineage: Eukaryota; Metazoa; Chordata; Mammalia; Primates; Hominidae
Description: processed transcript
Source: RNAcentral
CCGGUCUUAGCUGGACCCGUCUGGGAGGCCUAGGAGCUCAAUUACCAGGAUGAAUUUCUUCCCCAGGGUGUACUACAGACCUCCACAUGUUGGACAGUAGGAUUCAGCAGAGAAUGAGUCCCACAUCCUCUGUUCAUCCAUAAGCCACUCUUCCAACUACUCUUCCACCUUCCAUUAUCCCUAUGUCUACUUUACUGCUCAAUCUGGAUUUUGGGGAACCUCCUCCCAAAAAGGCAUUAGAAGGAAAUGCCAAGCACCGAAAUUUUGUCAAGAAGCGGAGGCUCUUAGAACGGAGAGGCUUUCUGAGUAAAAAGAACCAACCCCCUAUCAAGGCGCCUAAGUUGCACUCUGAACCUCCAAAGAAAGGGGAAACUCCUACGGUGGAUGGCACUUGGAAGACCCCUUCCUUCCCAAAAAAGAAGAAGACAGCUGCCUCCAGCAAUGGGUCAGGACAGCCCCUGGACAAGAAAGCCGCAGUGUCUUGGUUGACCCCUGCCCCUUCAAAAAAGGCUGAUUCUGUUGCUGCUAAAGUAGAUUUGCUGGGAGAGUUCCAGAGUGCCCUUCCAAAGAUCAAUAGCCACCCAACCCGCUCUCAG